GAUGAACGCUGGCGGCGUGCCUAAUACAUGCAAGUCGAGCGAACGGACGAGAAGCUUGCUUCUCUGAUGUUAGCGGCGGACGGGUGAGUAACACGUGGAUAACCUACCUAUAAGACUGGGAUAACUUCGGGAAACCGGAGCUAAUACCGGAUAAUAUUUUGAACCGCAUGGUUCAAAAGUGAAAGACGGUCUUGCUGUCACUUAUAGAUGGAUCCGCGCUGCAUUAGCUAGUUGGUAAGGUAACGGCCUACCAAGGCAACGAUGCAUAGCCGACCUGAGAGGGUGAUCGGCCACACUGGAACUGAGACACGGUCCAGACUCCUACGGGAGGCAGCAGUAGGGAAUCUUCCGCAAUGGGCGAAAGCCUGACGGAGCAACGCCGCGUGAGUGAUGAAGGUCUUCGGAUCGUAAAACUCUGUUAUUAGGGAAGAACAUAUGUGUAAGUAACUGUGCACAUCUUGACGGUACCUAAUCAGAAAGCCACGGCUAACUACGUGCCAGCAGCCGCGGUAAUACGUAGGUGGCAAGCGUUAUCCGGAAUUAUUGGGCGUAAAGCGCGCGUAGGCGGUUUUUUAAGUCUGAUGUGAAAGCCCACGGCUCAACCGUGGAGGGUCAUUGGAAACUGGAAAACUUGAGUGCAGAAGAGGAAAGUGGAAUUCCAUGUGUAGCGGUGAAAUGCGCAGAGAUAUGGAGGAACACCAGUGGCGAAGGCGACUUUCUGGUCUGUAACUGACGCUGAUGUGCGAAAGCGUGGGGAUCAAACAGGAUUAGAUACCCUGGUAGUCCACGCCGUAAACGAUGAGUGCUAAGUGUUAGGGGGUUUCCGCCCCUUAGUGCUGCAGCUAACGCAUUAAGCACUCCGCCUGGGGAGUACGACCGCAAGGUUGAAACUCAAAGGAAUUGACGGGGACCCGCACAAGCGGUGGAGCAUGUGGUUUAAUUCGAAGCAACGCGAAGAACCUUACCAAAUCUUGACAUCCUUUGACAACUCUAGAGAUAGAGCCUUCCCCUUCGGGGGACAAAGUGACAGGUGGUGCAUGGUUGUCGUCAGCUCGUGUCGUGAGAUGUUGGGUUAAGUCCCGCAACGAGCGCAACCCUUAAGCUUAGUUGCCAUCAUUAAGUUGGGCACUCUAAGUUGACUGCCGGUGACAAACCGGAGGAAGGUGGGGAUGACGUCAAAUCAUCAUGCCCCUUAUGAUUUGGGCUACACACGUGCUACAAUGGACAAUACAAAGGGCAGCGAAACCGCGAGGUCAAGCAAAUCCCAUAAAGUUGUUCUCAGUCCGGAUUGUAGUCUGCAACUCGACUGCAUGAAGCUGGAAUCGCUAGUAAUCGUAGAUCAGCAUGCUACGGUGAAUACGUUCCCGGGUCU
RNAcentral lists this ribosomal RNA (1372 nucleotides) under uncultured bacterium. RNAcentral describes it as "bacterial SSU rRNA". It matches the Rfam family "Bacterial small subunit ribosomal RNA", at positions 28 to 1381 of the family's 1533-position model. The record is from RNAcentral.